This 68-nucleotide transfer RNA is filed under the name Marmota monax (woodchuck). RNAcentral describes it as "tRNA.Thr". Lineage: Eukaryota; Metazoa; Chordata; Mammalia; Rodentia; Sciuridae. The record is from RNAcentral.
GGAUAUAGCUCAGUUGGUAAAGUUCUUGUCUUGUAUGUGGAAGGUCCUGGGUUCAAUCCCCAGUACCA